This 465-nucleotide long non-coding RNA is filed under the name Cottoperca gobio. RNAcentral describes it as "lncRNA (ENSCGOG00000002124.1)". Lineage: Eukaryota; Metazoa; Chordata; Actinopteri; Perciformes; Bovichtidae. The record is from RNAcentral.
UAAAAGUACACGAGUAUUAUCAUUAUGUAGUUAAACUAUCAGCAGUAAAAGUACACAAGUAUCAUCAUCAUGUAGUUAAAGUUUCAACAGUAAAAGUACACAAGUAUCAUCAUCAUGUAGUUAAAGUAUCAGCAGUAAAAGUACACGAGUAUUAUCAUCAUGUAGUUAAAGUAUCAGCAGUAAAAGUACACGAGUAUUAUCAUCAUGUAGUUAAAGUAUCAGCAGUAAAAGUACACAAGUAUUAUCAUCAUGUAGUUAAAGUAUCAGCAGUAAGUACACGAGUAUUAUCAUCAUGUAGUUAAAGUAUCAGCAGUAAAAGUACACAAGUAUUAUCAUCAUGUAGUUAAAGUAUCAGCAGUAAAAGUACACGAGUAUUAUCAUCUUCGCACCUGACGUGUGAGAUUGUGUGAGCUUUUAUAUAAAGUGCUGACGUCAGCAUUGCUCCUGUAAGAAACUAUGACAACA